This 1328-nucleotide ribosomal RNA is filed under the name uncultured Actinobacteridae bacterium. RNAcentral's name for it is "partial 16S rRNA". It matches the Rfam family "Bacterial small subunit ribosomal RNA", at positions 64 to 1379 of the family's 1533-position model. Lineage: Bacteria; Bacillati; Actinomycetota; Actinomycetes. The record is from RNAcentral.
GUACGAUGAUCUUGGUGCUUGCACUGGGGGAUUAGUGGCGAACGGGUGAGUAACACGUGAGUAACCUGCCUUGGACUUUGGGAUAACUGUUGGAAACGGCAGCUAAUACUGGAUAUGACUCAGUCUCGCAUGGGGUUGGGUGGAAAGUGUCUUUUGAUGCGGUUUGGGAUGGGCUCGCGGUCUAUCAGCUUGUUGGUGGGGUAGUGGCUUACCAAGGCUUUGACGGGUAGCCGGCCUGAGAGGGUGUCCGGCCACACUGGGACUGAGAUACGGCCCAGACUCUUACGGGAGGCAGCAGUGGGGGAUAUUGCACAAUGGGCGCAAGCCUGAUGCAGCGACGCCGCGUGGGGGAUGACGGCCUUCGGGUUGUAAACCUCUUUCGAUGUGGAAGAAGCUCAUGCUUGUUGGUGUGGGUGACGGUACAUGUUAAAGAAGCGCCGGCUAACUACGUGCCAGCAGCCGCGGUAAUACGUAGGGCGCAAGCGUUGUCCGGAAUUAUUGGGCGUAAAGGGCUCGUAGGCGGUUGGUUGCGUCUGCUGUGAAAUUCUCUGGCUUAACUGGGGGCUUGCAGUGGGUACGGGCUGGCUUGAGUGUGGUAGGGGAGAUUGGAAUUCCUGGUGUAGCGGUGGAAUGCGCAGAUAUCAGGAGGAAUACCGAUGGCGAAGGCAGGUCUCUGGGCCAUUACUGACGCUGAGGAGCGAAAGCAUGGGGAGCGAACAGGAUUAGAUACCCUGGUAGUCCAUGCUGUAAACGUUGGGCACUAGGUGUGGGGUCUGUUCCACGGAUUCUGCGCCGUAGCUAACGCAUUAAGUGCCCCGCCUGGGGAGUACGGUCGCAAGGCUAAAACUCAAAGGAAUUGACGGGGCCCCGCACAAGCGGCGGAGCAUGCGGAUUAAUUCGAUGCAACGCGAAGAACCUUACCAAGGCUUGAAAUAUGGGGAAAUCCGGCGGAGACGUCGGGUCGGUUUUGUCCGGUUCCUUACAGGUGGUGCAUGGUUGUCGUCAGCUCGUGUCGUGAGAUGUUGGGUUAAGUCCCGCAACGAGCGCAACCCUUGUCUUAUGUUGCCAGCGGGUAGUGCCGGGGACUCAUGGGAGACUGCCGGGGUUAACUCGGAGGAAGGUGGGGAUGACGUCAAAUCAUCAUGCCCCUUAUGUCUUGGGCUUCACGCAUGCUACAAUGGCUGGUACAAAGGGUUGCGAUACUGUGAGGUGGAGCGAAUCCCAAAAAGCCGGUCUCAGUUCGGAUUGGGGUCUGCAACUCGACCCUAUGAAGUCGGAGUCGCUAGUAAUCGCAGAUCAGCAACGCUGCGGUGAAUGCGUUCCCGGGG